AUGACUGACCUUGAUGUUUUGCUUAUUAGUUUGAAACAAGCACCGGGGGCAAGUUGGUGAACAUAAGUAAUUGGGUUAUAAGGCUUGCUAUGUUAAGGAUUUGUUGUAUUAGUAUGAGGCCUAUCGGAGUUUAUGCUAAAGGCUGGGUUUUAGCUAACCUAGUACAGUCCAGAAGGUCAUAAUUUUUAAAUUUCAUUCAGAGAAGGUAAAUAAGAGACCAAAGAAGGGACAAUGCACUGUAAAAUUCUGUAAUAGGGGAGUUUGAGGGUGGGGGGUUGCAGUUAGGUUGCUAGGCAAUAGGUAAGUAGUUAGACUACACUGACAUGCACAGGAAUUAUUAGGGAAAGAUUGAGAAAAGAUUGACACAAGUGUUAAUUAUGGACACAGAAUGCCACAGAUGGAAUAGGGGCAGGCAUUAUGAUGAUUCGGUACUAGAACAAAUAUGGAUAUACAUCUGUGAUAUCUGCAUAAUGUGGGGUAUAAGACACCAUGCCUAGUUCCCUUUUCUUGCUUUCUCUCCGGCUCUGAACUGAUGUCAACUGGAUCUGGGGCCUUCGGAGUUUCUCCACUUACUACUGUUUCACCCCUGUAUUUUGCUCGUCUAUUCGAGUGUGAGAGCAGGAAAGAGAAGACCUCCUUCCACCACAGUUCAUUCUGGAAGCAGAAUCAGGAAGAAAGCAAGGAGGUGGCACUAGAAGAAAGAUGCUGAAUAAAUGUACUUGAGCUUCCACCAAGGAUGAUCUCUUGAAGACAGUGAAGGUACUAUCACUGUAGAGGACAAAAGAAGUCAGUGUUGCAAGCUUUGCUUUGCACCUAGCAGAAAUUAAAGGCCCUGUUGUCAAUCUACCUCCCAGCUGCCUUUCUACUCCAGACAGGAUGAACCCUGUGCCCACCCUACACCUGGUUUGGAGUACGUUCUCCAUUGAGGAGCAGAGCCAAGGUUCCACCCAGUCUAUGUGUGAGGUGAGACAUAGGUUCCAUGGUGGUUGCUCUCCUCUCCAACCUUAUGCAAUAUGGGUACCUGGUGCUGGGGCCUAAGGACACCUUGAACCCCAGGCAUUAUCUGGUUUUAACUGAGGUUCUCAUGUUCUGCUUUGUGUAUUAUAGCAGGGUGCACAUUCUUAGCUCAGACAUAACUGGGCCUCUUUUCAUCUGAAACCCUUUGUGCACUCAGUUAAGGUCACUUGUAUUUCUAGCUUCUUAUUGCCCACUUGAAUCAAGUACUUUGUGGCUGAAAUUAACAUCACUUUGAUAUCAAAUAGAUGCAGGCACAAAACUGCAAUUGCACUUAUUUGUGAUUUGCAGUUUACUGGUGUGAAAAUAGAGACUAGCUUUACAAAAUCUGGCUCUUCAUUUACAAGGAAAUGAUAGUAAUUUAUUCAAAGAGUUGAACUGAUCCUGAUAGCUUUUUAGUGUUCUGAGGGGAAAAAUAUUUUCCCCUUUCAUAACAAUAGGUGUUCUCAUGUUUUUAUACCUAAUCUCUCUCUAGCAACAAAGUAUAAAUUGUUUUGAAAUUUACAAUGCUGCAACUAUAAAUAAGGGUGUGUUGGCCAUUCUUUCCUUAGGGGCACAAGAACUGGUCUGUUAGGCUAAAGAUUUUGAAGUUUAUUUUCAGGAUAUGUUACAGUAUUAUAAUGCAUGACCACUGACCCACAGUCAGCAUACAUAAUAGAAAAGUCUCAAACUUUAGCUCAAUUCAAAUCUCUGUCACUUGAGAUUAAGGAAAAUCUCGCUCUCCACAAGAGCAGGGCUUUUAUUUAUCUUUUGGCCAGCCACUAGAGGGUGGCACAACCAGGAAAUGAUAAACAUUUGAGCAGGUCCGUCUAAUAAAGAGAGGAGCGAAGGCA
Molecule: long non-coding RNA, 1847 nt
Organism: Chrysemys picta bellii (western painted turtle)
Lineage: Eukaryota; Metazoa; Chordata; Testudines; Emydidae
Source: Ensembl